GGAUACCACCCUGGAGAGACUCAUUUUAUGAGCAUCGAAGAAGAAACUCAAAAUUAUUUUAAUUUGUGGUUUUGGGGAAACUUUCAGAUAAAAGGACAGGUGUAAAUA
RNAcentral lists this non-coding RNA (108 nucleotides) under Clostridium argentinense. RNAcentral's name for it is "Glycine sequence". It matches the Rfam family "Glycine riboswitch aptamer". From Rfam's summary of the family: This family represents the bacterial glycine riboswitch. Glycine riboswitches usually consist of two metabolite-binding aptamers domains with similar structures in tandem. The record is from RNAcentral. Lineage: Bacteria; Bacillati; Bacillota; Clostridia; Eubacteriales; Clostridiaceae.